UUGACCUCGGAUCAGGUAGGCAUACCCGCUGAACUUAAGCAUAUCAAUAAGCGGAGGAAAAGAAACCAACAGGGAUUGCCUCAUA
RNAcentral lists this ribosomal RNA (85 nucleotides) under Tuber excavatum. RNAcentral describes it as "partial 28S ribosomal RNA". It matches the Rfam family "Eukaryotic large subunit ribosomal RNA", at positions 1 to 84 of the family's 3401-position model. Lineage: Eukaryota; Fungi; Ascomycota; Pezizomycetes; Pezizales; Tuberaceae. The record is from RNAcentral.